This 209-nucleotide long non-coding RNA is filed under the name Physcomitrium patens. Its description in RNAcentral is "long non-coding RNA (PPAT_LNC010671)". Lineage: Eukaryota; Viridiplantae; Streptophyta; Bryopsida; Funariales; Funariaceae. The record is from RNAcentral.
UAAGCAACAAGAUUGAUUUUUUCACAAAUAGGAAAAGGUCCAAGCCUAUGAUAGUCCAACUUGUCAUAAGGACAAAUAGUCUUGAUAUUAUGAUGAAGUAGCCAUACUUUGUCACCCACAUUGAAUUAUGGUUCUUUCUUGCAAUAGGCAUCUGUAUUGAAAUUUUUUCAUUCUUGAGCUUUUUUUGAUUGCACCUUCAUUGUUGCAUG